UUAAGCGACUAAGCGUACACGGUGGAUGCCCUGGCAGUCAGAGGCGAUGAAGGACGUGCUAAUCUGCGAUAAGCGUCGGUAAGGUGAUAUGAACCGUUAUAACCGGCGAUUUCCGAAUGGGGAAACCCAGUGUGUUUCGACACACUAUCAUUAACUGAAUCCAUAGGUUAAUGAGGCGAACCGGGGGAACUGAAACAUCUAAGUACCCCGAGGAAAAGAAAUCAACCGAGAUUCCCCCAGUAGCGGCGAGCGAACGGGGAGCAGCCCAGAGCCUGAAUCAGUGUGUGUGUUAGUGGAAGCGUCUGGAAAGGCGUGCGAUACAGGGUGACAGCCCCGUACACAAAAAUGCACAUAUUGUGAGCUCGAUGAGUAGGGCGGGACACGUGGUAUCCUGUCUGAAUAUGGGGGGACCAUCCUCCAAGGCUAAAUACUCCUGACUGACCGAUAGUGAACCAGUACCGUGAGGGAAAGGCGAAAAGAACCCCGGCGAGGGGAGUGAAAAAGAACCUGAAACCGUGUACGUACAAGCAGUGGGAGCACGCUUAGGCGUGUGACUGCGUACCUUUUGUAUAAUGGGUCAGCGACUUAUAUUCUGUAGCAAGGUUAACCGAAUAGGGGAGCCGAAGGGAAACCGAGUCUUAACUGGGCGUUAAGUUGCAGGGUAUAGACCCGAAACCCGGUGAUCUAGCCAUGGGCAGGUUGAAGGUUGGGUAACACUAACUGGAGGACCGAACCGACUAAUGUUGAAAAAUUAGCGGAUGACUUGUGGCUGGGGGUGAAAGGCCAAUCAAACCGGGAGAUAGCUGGUUCUCCCCGAAAGCUAUUUAGGUAGCGCCUCGUGAAUUCAUCUCCGGGGGUAGAGCACUGUUUCGGCAAGGGGGUCAUCCCGACUUACCAACCCGAUGCAAACUGCGAAUACCGGAGAAUGUUAUCACGGGAGACACACGGCGGGUGCUAACGUCCGUCGUGAAGAGGGAAACAACCCAGACCGCCAGCUAAGGUCCCAAAGUCAUGGUUAAGUGGGAAACGAUGUGGGAAGGCCCAGACAGCCAGGAUGUUGGCUUAGAAGCAGCCAUCAUUUAAAGAAAGCGUAAUAGCUCACUGGUCGAGUCGGCCUGCGCGGAAGAUGUAACGGGGCUAAACCAUGCACCGAAGCUGCGGCAGCGACACUAUGUGUUGUUGGGUAGGGGAGCGUUCUGUAAGCCUGUGAAGGUGUACUGUGAGGUAUGCUGGAGGUAUCAGAAGUGCGAAUGCUGACAUAAGUAACGAUAAAGCGGGUGAAAAGCCCGCUCGCCGGAAGACCAAGGGUUCCUGUCCAACGUUAAUCGGGGCAGGGUGAGUCGACCCCUAAGGCGAGGCCGAAAGGCGUAGUCGAUGGGAAACAGGUUAAUAUUCCUGUACUUGGUGUUACUGCGAAGGGGGGACGGAGAAGGCUAUGUUGGCCGGGCGACGGUUGUCCCGGUUUAAGCGUGUAGGCUGGUUUUCCAGGCAAAUCCGGAAAAUCAAGGCUGAGGCGUGAUGACGAGGCACUACGGUGCUGAAGCAACAAAUGCCCUGCUUCCAGGAAAAGCCUCUAAGCAUCAGGUAACAUCAAAUCGUACCCCAAACCGACACAGGUGGUCAGGUAGAGAAUACCAAGGCGCUUGAGAGAACUCGGGUGAAGGAACUAGGCAAAAUGGUGCCGUAACUUCGGGAGAAGGCACGCUGAUAUGUAGGUGAAGCGACUUGCUCGUGGAGCUGAAAUCAGUCGAAGAUACCAGCUGGCUGCAACUGUUUAUUAAAAACACAGCACUGUGCAAACACGAAAGUGGACGUAUACGGUGUGACGCCUGCCCGGUGCCGGAAGGUUAAUUGAUGGGGUCAGCGCAAGCGAAGCUCUUGAUCGAAGCCCCGGUAAACGGCGGCCGUAACUAUAACGGUCCUAAGGUAGCGAAAUUCCUUGUCGGGUAAGUUCCGACCUGCACGAAUGGCGUAAUGAUGGCCAGGCUGUCUCCACCCGAGACUCAGUGAAAUUGAACUCGCUGUGAAGAUGCAGUGUACCCGCGGCAAGACGGAAAGACCCCGUGAACCUUUACUAUAGCUUGACACUGAACAUUGAGCCUUGAUGUGUAGGAUAGGUGGGAGGCUUUGAAGUGUGGACGCCAGUCUGCAUGGAGCCGACCUUGAAAUACCACCCUUUAAUGUUUGAUGUUCUAACGUUGACCCGUGAUCCGGGUUGCGGACAGUGUCUGGUGGGUAGUUUGACUGGGGCGGUCUCCUCCUAAAGAGUAACGGAGGAGCACGAAGGUUGGCUAAUCCUGGUCGGACAUCAGGAGGUUAGUGCAAUGGCAUAAGCCAGCUUGACUGCGAGCGUGACGGCGCGAGCAGGUGCGAAAGCAGGUCAUAGUGAUCCGGUGGUUCUGAAUGGAAGGGCCAUCGCUCAACGGAUAAAAGGUACUCCGGGGAUAACAGGCUGAUACCGCCCAAGAGUUCAUAUCGACGGCGGUGUUUGGCACCUCGAUGUCGGCUCAUCACAUCCUGGGGCUGAAGUAGGUCCCAAGGGUAUGGCUGUUCGCCAUUUAAAGUGGUACGCGAGCUGGGUUUAGAACGUCGUGAGACAGUUCGGUCCCUAUCUGCCGUGGGCGCUGGAGAACUGAGGGGGGCUGCUCCUAGUACGAGAGGACCGGAGUGGACGCAUCACUGGUGUUCGGGUUGUCAUGCCAAUGGCACUGCCCGGUAGCUAAAUGCGGAAGAGAUAAGUGCUGAAAGCAUCUAAGCACGAAACUUGCCCCGAGAUGAGUUCUCCCUGACUCCUUGAGAGUCCUGAAGGAACGUUGAAGACGACGACGUUGAUAGGCCGGGUGUGUAAGCGCAGCGAUGCGUUGAGCUAACCGGUACUAAUGAACCGUGAGGCUUAACCUU
RNAcentral lists this ribosomal RNA (2901 nucleotides) under Escherichia coli. RNAcentral's name for it is "bacterial LSU rRNA". It matches the Rfam family "Bacterial large subunit ribosomal RNA". The record is from RNAcentral. Lineage: Bacteria; Pseudomonadati; Pseudomonadota; Gammaproteobacteria; Enterobacterales; Enterobacteriaceae.